This 336-nucleotide unclassified non-coding RNA is filed under the name soil metagenome. RNAcentral describes it as "partial contains 5.8S ribosomal RNA, internal transcribed spacer 2, and large subunit ribosomal RNA". The stretch from base 1 to 120 matches the Rfam family "5.8S ribosomal RNA", at positions 35 to 154 of the family's 154-position model. The record is from RNAcentral.
GAUGAAGAACGUAGCGAAAUGCGAUACUUGGUGUGAAUUGCAGAAUUCCGUGAAUCAUCGAAUCUUUGAACGCACAUUGCGCCCCCUGGUAUUCCGGGGGGCAUGCCUGUCCGAGCGUCAUUGCAACCUUCAAGCGCGGCUUGUGUGUUGGGUCUCGUCCCCCGUGGACGGGCCCGAAAGGCAGUGGCGGCGUCCCGACAUGGUGCCCGAGCGUAUGGGAAUCCUCUUCCGCUCGAAUCGGCCCAUGCGGCGCUGGUCGUAACCAAAUUUUUUACCGGUUGACCUCGGAUCAGGUAGGGAUACCCGCUGAACUUAAGCAUAUCAAUAAGCGGAGGA